AACGAACGCUGGCGGCAUGCCUAACAUAUGCAAGUCGAACGAGACCUUCGGGUCUAGUGGCGCACGGGUGCGUAACGCGUGGGAACCUGCCCUUAGGUUCGGAAUAACUCCCCGAAAGGGGUGCUAAUACCGGAUAAUGUCUUCGGACCAAAGAUUUAUCGCCUUUGGAUGGGCCCGCGUUGGAUUAGCUAGUUGGUAGGGUAAAAGCCUACCAAGGCGACGAUCCAUAGCUGGUCUGAGAGGAUGAUCAGCCGCACUGGGACUGAGACACGGCCCAGACUCCUACGGGAGGCAGCAGUGGGGAAUAUUGGACAAUGGGCGAAAGCCUGAUCCAGCAAUGCCGCGUGAGUGAUGAAGGCCUUAGGGUUGUAAAGCUCUUUUACCCGGGAUGAUAAUGACAGUACCGGGAGAAUAAGCUCCGGCUAACUCCGUG
RNAcentral lists this ribosomal RNA (433 nucleotides) under uncultured bacterium. RNAcentral's name for it is "partial 16S ribosomal RNA". It matches the Rfam family "Bacterial small subunit ribosomal RNA", at positions 29 to 507 of the family's 1533-position model. The record is from RNAcentral.